Molecule: transfer RNA, 73 nt
Filed under: Anas platyrhynchos (mallard)
Lineage: Eukaryota; Metazoa; Chordata; Aves; Anseriformes; Anatidae
Also listed under: 2 other names
Rfam family: tRNA
About the family: Transfer RNA (tRNA) molecules are approximately 80 nucleotides in length.
Source: Rfam by way of RNAcentral
GCCCAGCUAGCUCUGUCGGUAGAGCAUGAGACUCUUAAUCUCAGGAUCAUGGGUUUGAGCCCCACAUUGGGUG